RNAcentral lists this ribosomal RNA (458 nucleotides) under uncultured bacterium. RNAcentral's name for it is "partial 16S ribosomal RNA". It matches the Rfam family "Bacterial small subunit ribosomal RNA", at positions 28 to 507 of the family's 1533-position model. The record is from RNAcentral.
GAUAAACGCUGGCGGCGUGCAUGAGACAUGCAAGUCGAACGAAGGAUCGGGCUUGCUCGAUCCUUAGUGGCGGACGGCUGAGUAACGCGUAGGUGACCUACCCCGAAGUGGGGAAUAACUGCCCGAAAGGGUGGCUAAUACCGCAUGUGGUCGCACGUUCAUUCGUGCGAGUAAAGCCGCAAGGCGCUUCGGGAGGGGCCUGCGUCCGAUUAGCUCGUUGGUGGGGUAAUGGCUUACCAAGGCGACGAUCGGUAGGUGGUCUGGGAGGACGAUCACCCGGACUGGGACUGAGACACGGCCCAGACUCCUACGGGAGGCAGCAGUCGGGAAUUUUGCUCAAUGGGGGAAACCCUGAGGCAGCAACGCCGCGUGAGGGAUGAAGGCCUUCGGGUUGUAAACCUCUUUUGUCAGGGACGAUGAUGACGGUACCUGGCGAAUAAGCCACGGCUAACUCCGUG